AGAGGAUAGCCAAGCCUAGCAAGGUGAUCAAUGUAGCCUUUCAUCUUCAAAACAUGAGGACUAACUGAUUCACCUUCAGCUAUUUUGCAAUCAUGCAAUGCAAUGGUAGUUUCAUACUUAUCCUGCCUAGCUUGCUGUUGGAAAGCUUGUUUGAGAUGGACACUCAUCUCAUAAGCCUCAAGGUGCUCCAGAUCCUUCUGAAGUUUUGGGC
Molecule: long non-coding RNA, 211 nt
Filed under: Manihot esculenta (cassava)
Lineage: Eukaryota; Viridiplantae; Streptophyta; Magnoliopsida; Malpighiales; Euphorbiaceae
Description: long non-coding RNA (MESC_LNC003967)
Source: RNAcentral